Molecule: non-coding RNA, 19 nt
Filed under: Arabidopsis thaliana (thale cress)
Lineage: Eukaryota; Viridiplantae; Streptophyta; Magnoliopsida; Brassicales; Brassicaceae
Also listed under: 2 other names
Source: RNAcentral
UGAUCCUUCGAUGUCGGCU